AUCAAGGAGACAGGGGAGUGACUGAGGGCAGGUGAAGGGAAUUAACCAAUCAAGGAGACAGGGGAGUGACUGAGGGCAGGUGAAGGGAAUUAACCAAUCAAGGAGCCAGAGGAGACACAGAGAAGAAACAGAGGAGACACAGAACAGGGUUUUACAAUAAUUGGCAGUUUUUGCCAAGAAGAGCAGUGGGAUUCGUAACAACGCACCCAGGUUAGAGAUCUGGAUGUGUUAUGCCAGUGGCUGAGCCUCGUGUCAAUAGCCUCAAGUGACAUCUUCAGUAUGCUCACACUCGGACACACCCACAGUCAUGUCUGGAUGACAUGCUGCUCAAUUGAGCGCGGAUCGAAUGCAUCGCAGACGUCUGCCGUCACUGAAGUCCCUGGUAUUCUUCCUGAUAAUGUGCCCGACCAGUGGUGGUGGUAUUUGCAGUUCCUCCGUCAUACAACCUCGCCUGAAGGAGUCUAGACUGCUCAAUGUCCGGCUUACUGCUGGAGAUGCUUACCAUGAAGCUGCUACUUACCUGACCUCUGACUUGUCAAGUCGAUGACACUGGUGGACAACGUCGGACGACAUCAGAGGAUUGGAGAGGGAAUUUCGAGAGGGAAUUUCGAGAGUGGAUUUCACACAGACCCCCCUGGACAGAUCCCUGAAAACAAGACGAAGAUUUCUGAAUUUGUGAAGUUUUUCUUAUUAUUCCAUUGUGCCAUCUUCAUGAAUAUACACAUAGGGCAGGAUGCUUGGCCCUAUAGGGUUAUUAUCGGGUUAUUAAUUAUGCAAAUGUACAAUUAUCUUGAACGCACGCUCAUUUACAGCAUUCAUCAUGUUUAAGAUGGUCAUUCAUACUGUAAUCUGAAAUUGGGAGCGUUUGCUUAAUCUGACGUGGCUCACAGAAAUUUAACAUAAGAACCAAAAGGCCCAAAGAGAGGGUUGCUAUAGCAACAACGCCCCGGUUCAUGGGAGGACUGCAACCAAGAUGUAUUUCAUCUUAUAUAUCUACCUUCUUUUAAUGAAAGCAACAAUAAAUAUUAAAAGUCAUACUUUGCCAUAAUUUCUCCUGCGUGCUUGAAUGAUAACAUAUUCGUGUGCCAAAGCAUUUUAUUGUCAAGGAAUCCUAAUCUGAUUGUUUUUGCUUGUAUUUAAAGUUAGGAACCAACUGUUAUUAAUAAGGUUUAUAUAUCAGGGUUGGCUGAAGUUGUCCACCGCAGCCUGCUCAUACUAGUGCAUGCUGAUUGCCCCACAAUAUUAAAGCUGCUCACUUAUACUUAUACCGGUUGCCGCUUCAAUGCAUGGCAAGUGCAUUACCCUUUGACACACAUAUAGCAGUCUGCAUGUAAAGCACAUUGUGGCUAAUGACACCGUACGCAUGCAAAGACGAACCUCAACAGUAUUUCCAAUCAGUUUUAACCCUGACCUCAGUGAGAGACCUUUGCUGAGUAGUAGUGUAAGCCCCCACUAACUCCUCCACAGCCACUAAUGAGAUUCGCUGACGUGCCCUGCGCUGUAAGCCGCCCCGCAGCGCUGCGAGAAGGUGCACCUUGUGGAGGUAUGUUAAUGACACAUGUAACCUGAAACAGUAUUGUAGUAUAUUUCCAUCUACUGUUUAAUGUCAGAUUAUCCAAAAAUAUGCAAGUCAGGGCUCAACGUUCAAUAACCUAUGGGACUGUGCCUUAGCCUUGAGAGAUUACGCCACUAGGUUGCUGGUUAAGAACAUAGGGCGGGGGCUAGAUAACAGGCAUGAACCAGGGGGUUCAACGGGUCUGGGGCCAGCAUGAACCAGGGGGUUCAACGGGUCUGGGGCCAGCAUGAACCAGGGGGUUCAACGGGUCUGGGGCCAGCAUGAAUCUGGGGGUUCAACGAGUUUGGGGUCAGACUUAGUUGAUCAGUUUUAGGAUAAGGUAAUUAUGUCUACAUAUGAUUGGUCCACGAAGGCCGGUAACAAUAAACUCCACCUCUUUUGUUGUGUCUAAAACAUAUGUUAAAAUGCAUGUUCGAUAGUCUUUCUCAAUUCGGUGCCUGAAAGUACUCCAAACGGCCUGCAGGCGUAUGUUCCAUGACCUGUAGGCCUACUUGUUAAGAAUAAACUCAAUUUUCUCGCUAAGUGC
Molecule: long non-coding RNA, 2102 nt
Organism: Pseudoliparis swirei
Lineage: Eukaryota; Metazoa; Chordata; Actinopteri; Perciformes; Liparidae
Exons: 3
Source: RefSeq, a predicted model, not a curated record